RNAcentral lists this ribosomal RNA (486 nucleotides) under uncultured bacterium. RNAcentral's name for it is "bacterial SSU rRNA". It matches the Rfam family "Bacterial small subunit ribosomal RNA", at positions 17 to 518 of the family's 1533-position model. The record is from RNAcentral.
UCCUGGCUCAGGAUGAACGCUAGCGGCAGGCCUAACACAUGCAAGUCGCGGGGCAGCACGGGUAGCAAUACCUGGUGGCGACCGGCGCACGGGUGCGUAACGCGUAUGCAACCUGCCCCCAUCAGGGGAAUAGCCCGCCGAAAGGCGGAUUAAUGCCCCAUAGGCCCAGGGCGCCGCAUGGCGCUAUGGGUAAAGCUCCGGCGGAUGGGGAUGGGCAUGCGUGCCAUUAGCUAGUUGGGGCGGUAACGGCGCACCAAGGCGACGAUGGCUAGGGGGUCUGAGAGGAUGGUCCCCCACACUGGUACUGAGACACGGACCAGACUCCUACGGGAGGCAGCAGUGGGGAAUAUUGCACAAUGGGCGAAAGCCUGAUGCAGCAACGCCGCGUGAGUGAUGAAGGCCUUCGGGUCGUAAAACUCUGUCCUCAAGGAAGAUAAUGACGGUACUUGAGGAGGAAGCCCCGGCUAACUACGUGCCAGCAGCCGC